Long non-coding RNA from Mobula hypostoma (lesser devil ray), 4343 nucleotides. RefSeq lists it as uncharacterized. The transcript has 7 exons. Lineage: Eukaryota; Metazoa; Chordata; Chondrichthyes; Myliobatiformes; Myliobatidae. The record is from RefSeq and is a predicted model, not a curated record.
CAACAGCUGUUGGAAGCAGUACUCGAAUUCGCAGGCACGCUGGGAAUUGCGUGAACCGGAGAGAUUUUCUCUCAUUCCUGCAGACGAGGGAGACAGUUUCUCGAUCUCAACCUGCACUGGAACAGAGUAAGUGCUGGUGAUGGAUUCAGACUGGCCGUCACUGGCCAUCUCCCGCUGACAGGGCUUCCCGAAGGGAAGUUUCAGUCCCGCACUGUCGUCCUUUGUCCGGGUUCACAGCAUUGUUGUUUCGGCAAAAUUUACCUAUGUGCAGAAUGAGGUGAGAAUGGCAGAGAAAGUGUUAAGAUGUUAAUGAAUGGAGAGGCGACGGUGACCGAGGUAAUAGAAAAAUAUCCAUUUUGAGAGCAAAAUCAAACAGAUAUUAACACACGGAGGGCAUCAAAAUGAUAGAGACCUGGAUGACCCCUGCUCAGUAAAAACAUAUUUUGAGGGAUACGUUGACGGGUUGCGGUAGAAAUAGGAAAUCUUUGCGGUCUCUUUAAACUACUUCCUGGGCGGACAAAGAUUUAAAGGGCUGUUAGAAACAGUGCUCGAUUCGGAAACACACUGGGAAUUGGGUGAAUGCGAGGAGAUUGGCUCUUAUUCCUGUAGAAGUGGGAAGCAGUCGCCUCGAACCCAGCCUGGACUGGAACAGAGGAUACCUAGGCGGGCUGCGGAAGAGAUAAAGGAGUUUUCGCGCCUUUUUGAAACCAUUUCCUGGAUUGCAACAGCUAUUGGAAACAGCGCUCGAUUCGCAGACACGCUGGGAACUGAGUGAACCGAAGAGAUUUUCUCUCAUUCCUGCAGACGAGGGAGACAGUUUCUCGAUCUCAACCUGGACUGGAACAGAGUAAGUGCUGGUGAUGGAUUCAGACUGGCCGUCACUGGCCAUCUCCCGCUGACAGGGCUUCCCGAAGGAGGUUUCAGUCCCGCACUGUCGUCCUUUGUCGAGGUUCACAGCAUUGUUGUUUCGGCAAAAUUUACCUAUGAGCAGAAUGAGGACCAUCUCACACUCGCAUAAAGGAAAUGGUUGCAUGACACAUCAUGGAUCUCUCAGAGGCAUUAAUCAUCAACAUUUUCAAACUUGCUUCAGGUAACAUGUACAACCUGAGGAAUUCUUGAAUCUUUAAGACACAUCAUGCAUUAUUCAAACACAUUGAGAAAAUGCUGACCUGACGAUAAUUCUGAAUUUCAUUUCUGUGACAAUGUACCCAACACCAGUGUCAGACAACACAUGUGCUGGGUGUAAAUGCCAAGCAUCUCUCACUUUAACACACUGUAGCUGUGAAGAACUUUGCUGAUCUUGUUUUAUUUUUCUCUCUCCCAUUGGUUCUACUUGACUUCUGAACAUUUCCAGUAUUUCUAUUUUAUUUUAUGGCAUUCAGAAAUGAUGCUUAACCAAUUUUUAUUCAAUAAGUUAGCUGUGCGCAGUUGACCUCAGUGACAAAAUAUGUUCUCUGCCCUUGUUCAGGUAGCUGGACACAAUUUUUUCUAUUCACUCACAGUAACCACUGUUUCUUGCAGCAAUAUUUUUUCUCUGAGAAUCUAUCAAAUUCACACACAUGAUCCUGUCACUGCCAAGAGUACAAUUGGAGAAGAGGGUUGGAGCAGGGAUUGUACUUCAACCAACCUUGUUGAUCAUUGUGCCAGUGGAUCUUUGACCAGCAGGUGUCUUGUCCAGAUUGAGGCUCAUUUCUAGUGCCCAGCCUGGCAUCAGGUGGAGCUCAGCCCAACAUGCAUGGGAAAAUGGUCCAUUGAUGGCUGGCUCCAGGGUGUAGUGAAUAUAGCCCUUGAAAUUCAGUACCACUUACACAUUACUCCAUGUACUAUGGUGCUUCAAGGUAAACUGGUUGAUCAUGGUUUACCAUCCUAGAUUUUCAGUAUCUACAGUACUUUACUUUUGAAUUUAAGUUUAUUUUCCAGUCUUCCAUUUAACUUUGGUGUGCAGAGGGGCUCUGUAUGCCAGACCUGGUACUCUCACUAAUGCUGCUGCAGGACAAACCGUGAUGUUCCCCAUAGAGUACCAAAGCAAUGAAGAUCAGUACGAUGUUACCUUUAGAUUAACAUUUCCACAGCUCUUUAAAAUUUUAAUAUGGAAAUCCAAUAAUCCAGACAAUCUGCAUAAUGUACAUCCAGAAUAUAAACACAGGGCUACAAUCAAAAAUGGAUCGGUGGUGUUAUAUGAUAUACAAGUCACCGACAGUGGAGAGUAUCAAAUACGAACUGACUGCUAUGGGGUAGAACUGAAAAACCAUGACCAAAGUACUUUCAUGGUUCAAGUCUUUGAACCAGUUUCUCAACCUGUAGCAAAGACCUUAAGUCAUGGUCAGAAUACAGCAAAUAUCACUUUGAAUUGCUCCGUCUCCAAUGGAAAUGCAGUCAUGAUUUACUGGGAAAAAAUAUCCUUAUCUGGAGUCAUCAUCGAGACGUAUAUGACCACAAUUCUUGUGAUAGACUGUACUACUGAAGAUGAACAACAUGAGUACAGGUGCAUUGCAAAAAAUCCCAUCAGUAAUGCAUCCAGCAGUGAGAUAUCUAUCAACUCGUGUAACACCAGAAAUCUGAACGAUAAAAGGAAUUAUCUUAUGAUCCUGAUUCCUUUGGUGAUGAUGGCAAUUUCAUUGUUUGCAUUUGCAAAAUACAUCUCUAAUUGAUGUCCGAAUGAGCAAUCCUAAUGCCUGAUGAUCUCCAAGAAUUGCCUGGAAACACUCGCAUUCCUGCACAAAAUUCAGCAACCCCUACUGGAAUGCCACAGACCAUACUUGUGAAUGACAGCUCAUUUUGUAGUGGUCACCAACCAGGGAUUGUGAUCGACCGGUUGAUCUUUGAGACUUUCCCAGUAGAUCUCGAGAAAAAUGAAGAAUAAAAACACAAAUACAUUAUGCCUGAUAAACCUUUUGAUGCAAAUAUAUAGUAACUUCUACUUUGAAAAAGGACCACUCAACAACCUCAUGCCCAAAAGGAACAACUUCAUCUCGCACGGUAAAAUGAUAUUCGCAUACAGAGGUUUUCACUAAUGCGCACCGGGCAGAAAAGACUGGAAGGAAAACCCCGCAACCCCGGAACCAAUCUCUCUUUACAAACAGCUUUACCAUGAUCCUAAUUGAUAUUAACUUAUCUUUAUAAUGCUCACAUUACAACAUUUUUCCCCCUUUAAAUUCCAACGUUCCCCAAAUGUAAAGAAAUGGGAAACAAAAACAGUGGUGUCAUUAGCUUGCGUACUCCUGAAACUUAUACUAGUGUCUCAGUAACAGUUUACCAAUAACAGGAAAGCUGAGAAGCUGAAAUCGGGAUUGGAGGCUCAGAGGACGUGGAUCGACAAGUGUUAAAGGACUUGUCACUCUGUGAAUAUUUUUCAUGACAGUUCAAUGAAUCCCUGGAUGUAAUGCAAACAGCUCAGUUUGUUGUAUUUGUCAGAAUGGCUUUCCAGGAUUUUACAACAAAUGAGGACUUCCUCACUCUUUUGCAAUUAAAGAAGAGAACGAGAGGUGAGGAUAUUUACAAAGAAUUUUUUAAAAAUAUCUGUGAAAAUGACAUUCUCAUUCAUAAACUAAUGGCAAUUACUACUGAUGGGGCCCCAGCAAAUCGUGGUGUGCGCAUUGGUUUUAUAGCACUGUGCCGUAAUGAUCCUGAUUUUCCCAACUUCCUGGAUUAUCACUGUGUGAUUCAUCAGCAAGACUUGGCUGGGAAGGUCGUGGACUAUUCUCAUGUGAUGACACUGGUGGUCAAACUGAUAAACUCGAUUUGAGCAAAAGUGCUUCAGCACCGCUUAUUCAAGGCAUUAUUGGAUGAGCUUGAUGGCGCUAUGGCCUGUUCGAUAGGCUAGUUACAGUGUUUUCAUGUGGUUGAAUUAAUUUGAAAGUUUGAUAAAAGCAUUUUAUGUAAUUAAGAUACAAUUAUCCCAAAUAAAAGGCCUCAAAUUGGAAGUACAAUCUGAGCUGUUUUUUUCUCUAAACGAUUUAGUAGGUUGAUCUUGUCUUUUAGUAAGGCCGAGGUAGAGGAUAUUGGGCUUAAAAAUGUUGGUGACCACUACUCUAUAGCAUCUUUGGCAGACCACAAGCAUGACCAACUGGUAGCUGACCCAUGCAAUGAAUUCCCAAGGCUUAAACUUGCAGGGAAACCAGGACACCUCAUAAGCACCUGAGUAUAAGUUGGAGAUGACAUGACCACCCACUCCACAAAGAGAAUAUAAGAAAUUGUCUUGAUUGUGACAGUGGUCACCCAAACACUGCACUGCUGCCCUGCGAGAUCCAUUUCUGUGAGCAUCACUGCUAUAUAUACUGCCUCCUUUGCAGACAUCCCACCCCGCAAAAAUUCAUUUCAGGGAGGUAGCACCCCCGCCCCCU